CGAAAAGUACUAUCAAUUAAAUAAAAUGGUGAAACAAAAGAAUAGCGAAGAAGAAGCAAAUGCGCUUCACGCUAAUUCCAAGUACCAACACAAAACAAAUUCAAUGUUUGGUGAAGCAACUUGCUUAGUGGCGGACGGGUGAGUAACGCGUGAACAAUCUGCCCCGUACAAAGGGAUAGCCUCGGGAAACCGGGAUUAAAACCAUAUAACACUUAACUGCCGCAUGGUAGUGAAGUCAAAUCGAUUAAGAGGUAUGGGAUGAGUUCGCGUCUGAUUAGCUAGUUGGUGAGGUAAGGGCUCACCAAGGCGAUGAUCAGUAGCCGGCCUGAGAGGGUGAACGGCCACACUGGAACUGAGACACGGUCCAGACUCCUACGGGAGGCAGCAGUGGGGAAUAUUGCACAAUGGAGGGAACUCUGAUGCAGCGACGCCGCGUGAGUGAAGAAGGUCUUCGGAUCGUAAAACUCUGUCCUUGGUGAAGAAAAGGACGGUAGCCAAGGAGGAAGCCCCGGCUAACUACGUG
RNAcentral lists this ribosomal RNA (523 nucleotides) under uncultured bacterium. RNAcentral describes it as "bacterial SSU rRNA". It matches the Rfam family "Bacterial small subunit ribosomal RNA", at positions 1 to 507 of the family's 1533-position model. The record is from RNAcentral.